GUCGACUUGGAGGUUGUGCCCUUGAGGCGUGGGCUUCCGGAGCUAACGCGUUAAGUCGACCCGCCUGGGGAGUACGGCCGCAAGGUUAAAACUCAAAUGAAUUGACGGGGGCCCGCACAAAGCGGUGGAGCAUGUGGUUUAAUUCGAUGCAACGCGAAGAACCUUACCUACUCUUGACAUCCAGAGAACUUUCCAGAGAUGGAUUGGUGCCUUCGGGAACUCUGAGACAGGUGCUGCAUGGCUGUCGUCAGCUCGUGUUGUGAAAUGUUGGGUUAAGUCCCGCAACGAGCGCAACCCUUAUCCUUUGUUGCCAGCGGUUCGGUCGGGAACUCAAAGGAGACUGCCAGUGAUAAACUGGAGGAAGGUGGGGAUGACGUCAAGUCAUCAUGGCCCUUACGAGUAGGGCUACACACGUGCUACAAUGGCGCAUACAAAGAGAAGCGACCUCGCGAGAGCAAGCGGACCUCAUAAAGUGCGUCGUAGUCCGGAUUGGAGUCUGCAACUCGACUCCAUGAAGUCGGAAUCGCUAGUAAUCGUAGAUCAGAAUGCUACGGUGAAUACGUUCCCGGGCCUUGUACACACCGCCCGUCACACCAUGGGAGUGGG
This 606-nucleotide ribosomal RNA is filed under the name Enterobacter sp. GSM-6. RNAcentral describes it as "bacterial SSU rRNA". It matches the Rfam family "Bacterial small subunit ribosomal RNA", at positions 811 to 1414 of the family's 1533-position model. The record is from RNAcentral. Lineage: Bacteria; Pseudomonadati; Pseudomonadota; Gammaproteobacteria; Enterobacterales; Enterobacteriaceae.